GUGGGGAAUAUUGGACAAUGGGGGCAACCCUGAUCCAGCAAUACCGCGUGUGUGAAGAAGGCCUGAGGGUUGUAAAGCACUUUCAGUGGGGAGGAGGAUACUUAGGUUAAGAGCCAGAGUAUUGGACGUUACCCACAGAAGAAGCACCGGCUAACUCCGUGCCAGCAGCCGCGGUAAUACGGAGUGUGCAAGCGUUAAUCGGAAUUACUGGGCGUAAAGAGUGCGUAGGUGGUUUGGUAAGUUAUCUGUGAAAUCCCCGGGCUCAACCUGGGCAGGUCAGAUAAUACUGCUAGACUCGAGUAUGGGAGAGGGUAGUGGAAUUUCCGGUGUAGCGGUGAAAUGCGUAGAGAUCGGAAGGAACACCAGUGGCGAAGGCGGCUACCUGGCCCAAUACUGACACUGAGGCACGAAAGCGUGGGGAGCAAACAGGAUUAGAAACCCUAGUAGUCC
RNAcentral lists this ribosomal RNA (450 nucleotides) under uncultured bacterium. RNAcentral's name for it is "bacterial SSU rRNA". It matches the Rfam family "Bacterial small subunit ribosomal RNA", at positions 354 to 796 of the family's 1533-position model. The record is from RNAcentral.